GGCUGGAUGGCAGAGUGGUGAUGCUGCGGAUUGCAAAUCCGCCUACCCCGGUUCGAUUCCGGGUUCAGCCU
RNAcentral lists this transfer RNA (71 nucleotides) under Marinicella litoralis. It matches the Rfam family "tRNA". Rfam says of the family: Transfer RNA (tRNA) molecules are approximately 80 nucleotides in length. The record is from Rfam by way of RNAcentral. Lineage: Bacteria; Pseudomonadati; Pseudomonadota; Gammaproteobacteria; Lysobacterales; Marinicellaceae.